This 77-nucleotide transfer RNA is filed under the name TM7 phylum sp. oral taxon 346. RNAcentral's name for it is "tRNA-Arg". It matches the Rfam family "tRNA". From Rfam's summary of the family: Transfer RNA (tRNA) molecules are approximately 80 nucleotides in length. Their secondary structure includes four short double-helical elements and three loops (D, anti-codon, and T loops). Lineage: Bacteria; Candidatus Saccharimonadota. RNAcentral also lists the same sequence under 9 other names. The record is from RNAcentral.
GCACCCGUAGCUCAGCUGGAUAGAGCGUUGGUUUGCGGUACCAGAGGUCGUGCGUUCGAAUCGCGCCGGGUGUACCA